GUGGGUAGUUUGACUGGGGAGGUCUCCUCCCAAAGCGUAACUGAGGAGCACGAAGGUUAGCUAAUCCUGGUCGGACAUCAGGAGGUUAGUGCAAUGGCAUAAGCUAGAUUGACUGCGAGCGUGACGGCGCGAGCAGGUGCGAAAGCAGGUCAUAGUGAUCCGGUGGUUCUGAAUGGAAGUGCCAUAGCUCAACGGAUAAAAUGUACUCCGGGGAUAACAGGCUGAUACCGCCCAAGAGUUCAGAU
This 245-nucleotide ribosomal RNA is filed under the name Klebsiella pneumoniae. RNAcentral's name for it is "partial 23S ribosomal RNA". It matches the Rfam family "Bacterial large subunit ribosomal RNA", at positions 2261 to 2505 of the family's 2925-position model. The record is from RNAcentral. Lineage: Bacteria; Pseudomonadati; Pseudomonadota; Gammaproteobacteria; Enterobacterales; Enterobacteriaceae.